This 72-nucleotide transfer RNA is filed under the name Camelus bactrianus (Bactrian camel). It matches the Rfam family "tRNA". From Rfam's summary of the family: Transfer RNA (tRNA) molecules are approximately 80 nucleotides in length. Their secondary structure includes four short double-helical elements and three loops (D, anti-codon, and T loops). RNAcentral also lists the same sequence under 2 other names. Lineage: Eukaryota; Metazoa; Chordata; Mammalia; Artiodactyla; Camelidae. The record is from Rfam by way of RNAcentral.
GAGGGUAUAGCUCAGGGGUAGAGUGCAUGCUCAGCAUGCACGAGGUCCUGGGUUCAAUCCCCACUACCUCCG